CGACGGGUGAGUACACGUGGGCAAUCUGCCCUUCACUCUGGGACAAGCCCUGGAAACGGGGUCUAAUACCGGAUAAUACUUCUGCCUGCAUGGGCGGGGGUUGAAAGCUCCGGCGGUGAAGGAUGAGCCCGCGGCCUAUCAGCUUGUUGGUGGGGUGAUGGCCUACCAAGGCGACGACGGGUAGCCGGCCUGAGAGGGCGACCGGCCACACUGGGACUGAGACACGGCCCAGACUCCUACGGGAGGCAGCAGUGGGGAAUAUUGCACAAUGGGCGAAAGCCUGAUGCAGCGACGCCGCGUGAGGGAUGACGGCCUUCGGGUUGUAAACCUCUUUCAGCAGGGAAGAAGCGAAAGUGACGGUACCUGCAGAAGAAGCGCCGGCUAACUACGUGCCAGCAGCCGCGGUAAUACGUAGGGCGCAAGCGUUGUCCGGAAUUAUUGGGCGUAAAGAGCUCGUAGGCGGCUUGUCGCGUCGGAUGUGAAAGCCCGGGGCUUAACCCCGGGUCUGCAUUCGAUACGGGCAGGCUAGAGUGUGGUAGGGGAGAUCGGAAUUCCUGGUGUAGCGGUGAAAUGCGCAGAUAUCAAGGGGAACACC
RNAcentral lists this ribosomal RNA (595 nucleotides) under Streptomyces sp. MBT39. RNAcentral's name for it is "bacterial SSU rRNA". It matches the Rfam family "Bacterial small subunit ribosomal RNA", at positions 100 to 710 of the family's 1533-position model. The record is from RNAcentral. Lineage: Bacteria; Bacillati; Actinomycetota; Actinomycetes; Kitasatosporales; Streptomycetaceae.